RNAcentral lists this long non-coding RNA (228 nucleotides) under Homo sapiens (human). RNAcentral describes it as "long non-coding RNA NONHSAT250856". The record is from RNAcentral. Lineage: Eukaryota; Metazoa; Chordata; Mammalia; Primates; Hominidae.
AAGAGCAAGCUGCACCUUUGCCUGCUUCCUGUUGACUCUGAAUGAGGAGAAGGUUGCUCAAGCACGCACUCCCACUAGUGAAGCUCAGCAGAGAGCUGGUGAUUGGGGACUUAAUGAGAUGGCACCUGUGAAACCCAAGUACAUGCAUGAAAGCUUAUUGCUAUUUUGGUUUUUGUAAGAUUGAAAGUCAGGGGCACUCAGCAUGGUCAUAUUUAUCAAGCAGAAAGA